AAGGGUGAGUAAGGCGACGGUAACCAACCCCAGGAUUGGGUAUAGCCGCGGGAAACCGCGGGUAAUCCCCAGCGACGCAACGACCCCGGCAUCGGGGUCUUGCCAAAGCUUCGGCGUCCUGGGACGGGCUGUCGUGGUAUUAGCUUGUUGGCGGGGUAACGGCCCACCAAGGCUCUGAUGCCUACCGGGCGUGCGAGCGUGGCCCGGCACACUGGGACUGAGACACUGCCCAGACUCCUACGGGAGGCUGCAGUCGAGAAUCUUCGGCAAUGGGCGCAAGCCUGACCGAGCGACGCCGCGUGGAGGAUGAAGGCCUUCGGGUUGUAAACUCCUGUCGAGGGGGAAAAAGGGUCGCAAGACCUUGAUUGAUCCCUGGAGGAAGCACGGGCUAAGUUCGUGCCAGCAGCCGCGGUAAGACGAACCGUGCGAACGUUAUUCGGAAUCAUUGGGCUUAAAGCGCGUGUAGGCGGAUUCGUGCGUCUGUCGCUGAAAUCCCCCGGCUCAACCGGGGAACGGGCGCGGAUACGUCGAGUCUGGAGGGGCAUAGGGGGACCUGGAACUUCCGGUGGAGCGGUGAAAUGCGUUGA
This 587-nucleotide ribosomal RNA is filed under the name uncultured bacterium. RNAcentral describes it as "bacterial SSU rRNA". It matches the Rfam family "Bacterial small subunit ribosomal RNA", at positions 102 to 694 of the family's 1533-position model. The record is from RNAcentral.